AGGAAGAAUUUCUACAUUGAGACAAGUAAGUGUGAGUUAUGUGAUGAUGAGCCUAAUGAACAUCGAAUGCACCUAUUUUUUAGUUGUGAUUUCAGCCAAAACUUCUGGAUGAACAUUGGUUACCAAUGGGAUACUGACCAUAAUCUGAUGGAGAUGUUAUUGGAAGGAAGAAAACAAGAUACUUAUGGAUGUUUCAAAGAGUGCUUAAUUGCUGGCUGGUGGAGUUUAUGGAAGCACAGAAAUAGCAUAAUAUUUGAUCACAACGUUAAGAAUAUGACUUUCUGUAUAGCCAUGUUUAAGAAGCACUUCAACAUGAUCAUAAAGAAGGCCAAACCUGGUUUGAAGGAGGGCAUGCAAAGUUGGCUUGACACUUUGUAG
This 378-nucleotide ribosomal RNA is filed under the name Triticum aestivum (bread wheat). RNAcentral's name for it is "partial small subunit ribosomal RNA". Lineage: Eukaryota; Viridiplantae; Streptophyta; Magnoliopsida; Poales; Poaceae. The record is from RNAcentral.